RNAcentral lists this ribosomal RNA (468 nucleotides) under uncultured bacterium. RNAcentral's name for it is "partial 16S ribosomal RNA". It matches the Rfam family "Bacterial small subunit ribosomal RNA", at positions 28 to 507 of the family's 1533-position model. The record is from RNAcentral.
GACGAACGCUGGCGGCGUGCUUAACACAUGCAAGUCGAACGGAAAGGCCCUGCUUUUGUGGGGUGCUCGAGUGGCGAACGGGUGAGUAACACGUGAGCAACCUGCCCUUGACUUUGGGAUAACUUCAGGGAAAUGGGGCUAAUAACGGAUAGGAGCUCCUGCUGCAUGGUGGGGGUUGGAAAGUUUCGGCGGUUGGGGAUGGACUCGCGGCUUAUCAGCUUGUUGGUGGGGUAGUGGCUUACCAAGGCUUUGACGGGUAGCCGGCCUGAGAGGGUGACCGGCCACAUUGGGACUGAGAUACGGCCCAGACUCCUACGGGAGGCAGCAGUGGGGAAUAUUGCACAAUGGGCGGAAGCCUGAUGCAGCAACGCCGCGUGCGGGAUGACGGCCUUCGGGUUGUAAACCGCUUUCGCCUGUGACGAAGCGUGAGUGACGGUAAUGGGUAAAGAAGCACCGGCUAACUACGUG